UGAAACACGAAGAAGUGGAAAGUAAAUCGCAAUGAUUUCCAAGAGAGCUCAUGGUUGGUGGAAAUGAGUAAUUUAGAGCGAUUGAAAAUGGCCACCGAGUGGCUAUCCUGAAUGCAUGUCGGCAAUAAGGAUAGACGGCUGCUACCGUUAAUCAGGCACCGGUAUAUGAACUCUGAUUAGAGAAUGUACGGGUUGAGGUAAUUCCAGCAAUGGAAAUAUGAAUUAAGGUGGUACCACGGAGUAGAACUCGCGUCCUUUUU
This 260-nucleotide non-coding RNA is filed under the name Facklamia languida. RNAcentral's name for it is "T-box sequence". It matches the Rfam family "T-box leader". From Rfam's summary of the family: Uncharged tRNA acts as the effector for transcription antitermination of genes in the T-box leader family. The record is from RNAcentral. Lineage: Bacteria; Bacillati; Bacillota; Bacilli; Lactobacillales; Aerococcaceae.